This 462-nucleotide ribosomal RNA is filed under the name uncultured bacterium. Its description in RNAcentral is "partial 16S ribosomal RNA". It matches the Rfam family "Bacterial small subunit ribosomal RNA", at positions 28 to 507 of the family's 1533-position model. The record is from RNAcentral.
GACGAACGCUGGCGGCGUGCUUAACACAUGCAAGUCGAACGGAAAGGCCCUUCGGGGUACUCGAGUGGCGAACGGGUGAGUAACACGUGGGUGAUCUGCCCUGCACUUUGGGAUAAGCCUGGGAAACUGGGUCUAAUACCGAAUAGGACCACGCGCUUCAGGGUGUGUGGGGGCAAGCUUUUGCGGUGUGGGAUGGGCCCGCAGCCUAUCAGCUUGUUGGUGGGGUAUUGGUCUACCAAGGCGACGACGGGUAGCCGGCCUGGGAGGGUGACCGGCCACACUGGGACUGAGAUACGGCCCAGACUCCUACGGGAGGCAGCAGUGGAGAAUAGUGCACAAUGGGCGCAAGCCUGAUGCAGCGACGCCGCGUGGGGGAUGACGGCCUUCGGGUUGUAAACCUCUUUCAAUAGGGACGAAGCGCAAGUGACGGUACCUAGAGAAGAAGCACCGGCUAACUACGUG